RNAcentral lists this long non-coding RNA (202 nucleotides) under Mus musculus (house mouse). RNAcentral describes it as "long non-coding RNA chr2:56265843-56266045". Lineage: Eukaryota; Metazoa; Chordata; Mammalia; Rodentia; Muridae. The record is from RNAcentral.
ACAUACAACCACUAUCAUAACAAGAAAUCACACGCCACACACAACUUAGAGGAGAACUUCUGUGUAGAUAUCAUCCUUGUGAAUGCUCCACACUUAAUCAGUGCACACCUGGCUAUCCAUUGCCAGAAUCUUCCAAUUGCACCUCCCAAAGUCACCUUUGGUCCCAUCUUGCCACCAGUUGUGCUCAGUAUUAAUGUUUUCC